CAGCCGCCGCGGGAAUACGUAGGUGGCAAGCGUUGUCCGGAAUUAUUGGGCGUAAAGCGCGCGCAGGCGGAUAGGUCAGUCUGUCUUAAAAGUUCGGGGCUUAACCCCGUGAUGGGAUGGAAACUGCCAAUCUAGAGUAUCGGAGAGGAAAGUGGAAUUCCUAGUGUAGCGGUGAAAUGCGUAGAUAUUAGGAAGAACACCAGUGGCGAAGGCGACUUUCUGGACGAAAACUGACGCUGAGGCGCGGAAGCCAGGGGAGCGAACGGGAUUAGAUACCCCAGUAGUCCCUGUCUCUUAUACA
Molecule: ribosomal RNA, 301 nt
Filed under: uncultured bacterium
Lineage: Bacteria
Description: partial 16S ribosomal RNA
Rfam family: Bacterial small subunit ribosomal RNA
Source: RNAcentral